This 844-nucleotide long non-coding RNA is filed under the name Felis catus (domestic cat). RNAcentral's name for it is "lncRNA (ENSFCAG00000051251.1)". Lineage: Eukaryota; Metazoa; Chordata; Mammalia; Carnivora; Felidae. The record is from RNAcentral.
GGUGACUUACUUGAUGCCAGAAAGCACGGCACUGAGGCCUGUGGCCAUCUCUAGGGCCAAGGCGUCUGGGUGGGGCCACUACUGGGGUCCUUCAUGACGGGGAGGCCCAGACACACUAGGCUCCCCCAGGACCCAGGCUUUACUUCCCUCAUCCCAUCCAGGCCCAACAGUGCCCCACUGGCCUUCUCUCAUUAAUUCCACACCUUGGCAGACUCCUUAGAGUUCCAUGGAUUGUCAACUUUAUCUUAAGUGCUUCAUCCUUGAGCAGUAUCAUCUCCAUUUCACAGAAGGGAAAGGAGAGUUUCAGAGAGGUUAAGUGACUUGCUACAGACUGCACAGCUAUGACCUCACAUAGCCAAAAUGUGAACCCAAGUUCUCUGGCCUCAAAUGUCAGCCACUCUCCACUGCUCUGCCUCCCCCUCCGAGGACCACUCAGUUGCUAGGAGACAGCAAGCCAGUGGUUACUAUGGGAACCUGGCUGAUGUGGAAAGUGGAAAGAGUUGGUGUCCAGACAGCAGUGGGAAGGCUCCAGUCCCUUAAUCUGAUCCCCGAGGAACAACGCAGAGGCUUCACUCUGGAUGACAAACGAGGAGGGGAGAGGCCUGCCCUGCCUGGACUCUGGGCCCCAGCCAGGACUGUGUAAGCGAGAGGAUACCUGCACCCCCUUUAAUCCCUCAGCGGGGUCUCCCCAGUGGGGAGACCAGACCUGGGAAACAUGGCUCACCUUGGUAAGCCAUCAGCCUCUCCACGCCUCAGUUUCUUCAUCUGCAAAAUGGGCAUGCCUUUAGGCCUAGUGAGGCUAGUGCAUGUAAGCACUUAAUAAAGCCUGCAGCGGUGGGGCUCA